RNAcentral lists this ribosomal RNA (781 nucleotides) under Moraxella catarrhalis. RNAcentral's name for it is "partial 16S ribosomal RNA". Lineage: Bacteria; Pseudomonadati; Pseudomonadota; Gammaproteobacteria; Moraxellales; Moraxellaceae. The record is from RNAcentral.
UGCGGCCGUACUCCCCAGGCGGUCUACUUAUUGCGUUAACUGCGAUCACUAAGUCUUUAAAAGACCCAACGACUGGUAGACAUCGGUUUACGGCGUGGACUACCAGGGUAUCUAAUCCUGUUUGCUACACACGCUUUCGCACCUCAGUGUCAGUAUGAUGCCAGGGAGCUGCCUUCGCCAUCGGUAUUCCUCCAGAUCUCUACGCAUUUCACCGCUACACCUGGAAUUCUACUCCCCUCUCACCUACUCUAGUUAUCCAGUAUCAGAUGCAGUUCCCAGGUUAAGCCCGGGGCUUUCACAUCUGACUUAAAUAACCACCUACGCGCGCUUUACGCCCAGUAAUUCCGAUUAACGCUUGCACCCUCUGUAUUACCGCGGCUGCUGGCACAGAGUUAGCCGGUGCUUAUUCUGUGGGUAACGUCAGGGCUUAUGGGUAUUAACCAUAAGCUUUUCCUCCCCACUUAAAGUGCUUUACAACCAAAAGGCCUUCUUCACACACGCGGCAUGGCUGGAUCAGGCUUUCGCCCAUUGUCCAAUAUUCCCCACUGCUGCCUCCCGUAAGAGUCUGGGCCGUGUCUCAGUCCCAGUGUGGCUGAUCAUCCUCUCAGACCAGCUACAGAUCGUCGCCUUGGUAGGNCUUUACCCCACCAACCAGCCAAUCCGACUUAGGCUCAUCUAAUAGCGAGAGCUAAAAGCCCCCUUUCACCCGUAGGUCGUAUGCGGUAUUAGCUUGGGUUUCCCCAAGUUAUCCCCCACUACUAGGCAGAUUCCUAAGCAUUAC